Molecule: ribosomal RNA, 253 nt
Filed under: uncultured bacterium
Lineage: Bacteria
Description: partial 16S ribosomal RNA
Rfam family: Bacterial small subunit ribosomal RNA
Source: RNAcentral
GACGGAGGAUGCAAGUGUUAUCCGGAAUCACUGGGCGUAAAGCGUCUGUAGGUGGUUUAAAAAGUCUGCUGUUAAAAAUUGAAGCUUAACUUCAAAGAUGCCGUAGAAACUUUUAAACUUGAGGAUGGUAGGGGUAGAGGGAAUUUCCAGUGGAGCGGUGAAAUGCGUAGAUCUUGGAAAGACCACCAAUGGCGAAGGCACUCUACUGGGCCAUGACUGACACUAAGAGACGAAAGCUAGGGGAGCAAAUGGG